AGAGUUUGAUCAUGGCUCAGGAUGAACGCUAGCUACAGGCUUAACACAUGCAAGUCGAGGGGCAGCAUGUUGGUUGCUUGCAACCAACGAUGGCGACCGGCGCACGGGUGAGUAACGCGUAUCCAACCUACCCUUGUCCAUCGGAUAACCCGUCGAAAGGCGGCCUAACACGAUAUGCGGUUCACGGCAGGCAUCUAAGGUGAACGAAAUGUGAAGGAGAAGGAUGGGGAUGCGUCUGAUUAGCUUGUUGGCGGGGUAACGGCCCACCAAGGCUACGAUCAGUAGGGGUUCUGAGAGGAAGGUCCCCCANACUUGGAACUGAGACACGGUCCAAACUCCUACGGGAGCA
This 349-nucleotide ribosomal RNA is filed under the name uncultured bacterium. Its description in RNAcentral is "bacterial SSU rRNA". It matches the Rfam family "Bacterial small subunit ribosomal RNA", at positions 8 to 349 of the family's 1533-position model. The record is from RNAcentral.